RNAcentral lists this transfer RNA (71 nucleotides) under Draco sumatranus (common gliding lizard). RNAcentral's name for it is "tRNA-Trp". The record is from RNAcentral. Lineage: Eukaryota; Metazoa; Chordata; Lepidosauria; Squamata; Agamidae.
GAACUUAGGAUAGCAUAAACCAAGGGCCUUCAAAGCCCUAAACAAGAGCACCAACCUCUUAGCUCCUGGCU